RNAcentral lists this ribosomal RNA (1211 nucleotides) under Peribacillus frigoritolerans. Its description in RNAcentral is "bacterial SSU rRNA". It matches the Rfam family "Bacterial small subunit ribosomal RNA", at positions 95 to 1289 of the family's 1533-position model. Lineage: Bacteria; Bacillati; Bacillota; Bacilli; Caryophanales; Bacillaceae. The record is from RNAcentral.
GCGGCGGACGGGUGAGUAACACGUGGGCAACCUGCCUAUAAGACUGGGAUAACUUCGGGAAACCGGAGCUAAUACCGGAUACGUUCUUUUCUCGCAUGAGAGAAGAUGGAAAGACGGUUUACGCUGUCACUUAUAGAUGGGCCCGCGGCGCAUUAGCUAGUUGGUGAGGUAAUGGCUCACCAAGGCGACGAUGCGUAGCCGACCUGAGAGGGUGAUCGGCCACACUGGGACUGAGACACGGCCCAGACUCCUACGGGAGGCAGCAGUAGGGAAUCUUCCGCAAUGGACGAAAGUCUGACGGAGCAACGCCGCGUGAACGAAGAAGGCCUUCGGGUCGUAAAGUUCUGUUGUUAGGGAAGAACAAGUACCAGAGUAACUGCUGGUACCUUGACGGUACCUAACCAGAAAGCCACGGCUAACUACGUGCCAGCAGCCGCGGUAAUACGUAGGUGGCAAGCGUUGUCCGGAAUUAUUGGGCGUAAAGCGCGCGCAGGUGGUUCCUUAAGUCUGAUGUGAAACCCCACGGCUCAACCGUGGAGGGUCAUUGGAAACUGGGGGACUUGAGUGCAGAAGAGGAAAGUGGAAUUCCAAGUGUAGCGGUGAAAUGCGUAGAGAUUUGGAGGAACACCAGUGGCGAAGGCGACUUUCUGGUCUGUAACUGACACUGAGGCGCGAAAGCGUGGGGGAGCAAACAGGAUUAGAUACCCUGGUAGUCCACGCCGUAAACGAUGAGUGCUAAGUGUUAGAGGGUUUCCGCCCUUUAGUGCUGCAGCUAACGCAUUAAGCACUCCGCCUGGGGAGUACGGCCGCAAGGCUGAAACUCAAAGGAAUUGACGGGGGGCCCGCACAAGCGGUGGAGCAUGUGGUUUAAUUAGAAGCAACGCGAAGAACCUUACCAGGUCUUGACAUCCUCUGACAACCCUAGAGAUAGGGCUUUCCCCUUCGGGGGACAGAGUGACAGGUGGUGCAUGGUUGUCGUCAGCUCGUGUCGUGAGAUGUUGGGUUAAGUCCCGCAACGAGCGCAACCCUUGAUCUUAGUUGCCAGCAUUCAGUUGGGCACUCUAAGGUGACUGCCGGUGACAAACCGGAGGAAGGUGGGGAUGACGUCAAAUCAUCAUUCCCCUUCAGACCUGGGCUACACACGUGAUACAAUGGAUGGUACAAAGGGCUGCAAACCUGCGAAGGUAAGCGAAUCCCAUAAAGCCAUUCUC